GCGGUGAACCAGUUCAGGCGGGCGAACGGGCACCUAAUGCCGGGGUCCUGAAGCCCUGGGAACUCCAUGUGGUCUGCUGCUGCUGCUGGCGGUGCGCAGCUCAGGCCCGGCACCGGAUUUGCUAUCAAUACUAAGCUGAACAAAGUUAAAAUCUCUGCUGGAGGACGCUUGUUCAGAACUGGGAAGGAGAGAGAGAAGGCGCCUGGACGGAGAGAAGGCAGGAGAGUCUAAAGAUGUCUUCAGGACUCGAGCUACUGUUGAGGAGCCAAGCCCUUCCUGCCCAUUGCGGGGAAGUAGGGGCCUGGUUCUGUACGUUGCUGUGGUGGAGAGAAGAGUAGGAGAUGGCAGAGAGCCGGUGACAAGGGAAGUUGCCUACACCAGUGAGGACAGCAGGAAUAAUGACAACUCCUAUAGCUGAUCGCAGAGCUCUGAGACUUACUGUUUCCAGUCAGUUGCUGAAGCUGUGUUUCCUGGGACUCUUCCACCUUCUGGCCUUGUUACAGGCGGAGAGGAGGGCCACAGCGUCACGAGGUGGCCGAGGCAGUGAGGUGGCAGGAACGGCAGGUGCGUCUAAAGACGGCUGUGGUCAUGAGGUGGCAGGAACGGCAGGCACAUCUGAAAAGACAGCUGUGGUCAUGAGGUGGCAGGAACGGCAGGCACAUCUGAAAAGACAGCUGUGGUCAUGAGCGCGUCCACGUGUGGCUCCAGUAGACCUAACUGGGAGAGAGUGGCCCAUUCAGCCCAGCGGGUAUACGCUAAGCUCCCACAUUGGGAGCCCAGCUCCUGGGAGCGGCAGGUUGACGAUGGGCUACCGGAACUACACGGUCCACACUCAGCGUGGCUGUGCUGUGUCUGAUGGGGAAACAUUUCCGAUUUACUAACGAGGGCCCAGCAGCCGUUCUGCAGCACGGAGAUAUUAUCAUCAUCACUCUCCUCCUGACUGUCCUUAUUUCAAAAACGGUAGGAGAUGCAGGUCUACUUGUCCUGCUCCUUCUUAUUCAAUUGUCCCCUGUGCCAAAACUCAACAACGACCCGCACAAUGACAGAACAGUGAGAGCGCGCCAAUAUGCGGAGCUCUGUGCUCGCAAAUCCCCGCAGGCUAUCUCCCUUAGCCGGAACGCUGGCUAAUUGUGAGCCAGUUCGGAUGUGCCAGGAAAUGGGUCGCCACAAGGUCACAAAGUAAAGCGCAAAUGUGGAGUAAUACGCUGCACCUCAACAAAGGUCAAUGUAUAUAGAGUGCGUCAUCUAUUGGGAAAACGCCAGAAUUGCGGGGGGGAAAACGUUAACAAGGUUUAUUAAUAUAAUUUCAUCAAGUUCUGCGGGCCGGAUUAAAAAGCUUAACGGGCCGUAGUUUGCCCAUGCCUGAUCUAGACUGAUCAUUCCAGCCACAAGUACAAAACGAAGGGCAAUAACUGAACUCAAAGUGAAAGUGCAUGACAGCAACUAAAGCACAGUAUAGUUACAGCUCCAGGCAUGGCACAGCGUGGGUGAGCAGCUGAAUUGCAAGGGCCAAGAUGAGGUAAAUCGGGGGUGGGGGGUCAUCUUUAGCAUAUGGGAGGUCUGCUCGGGAGUCUGAUAGCAGCGGGUUAGACGUGGGAUUUGAGCCUCGUGUUGUGCGGUCACAGGUUUUUCUGUCUGGGGGAGAUAGGAAAUGAGAAUUACAAGGCUGUUUUCCUGAUGCGGCGAGUAGUGUAGACAGAGUGUAUGGAGGGGAGGCUGGUUUGUCUGUAUCCGCAGUUCUGAAGUUUCUCGCCUCUCUAAGCUGUGAUGCAUCGGGGUAGAACGCUGUCUGGUACAUCAAUAUGGAGAUAAAUUGUGUGCAGAAUUUGUUUUGUGGAGCCCCAUUUCAUGUUCUGUCUGUUCUGCAGGUGCAUUGAAGAGCUGUAGAGUCUUUUCGCUGGUGGCUGUGGCAGAGAGCUGGUGACAGAGGAAGCACCCUGGACCAUGGGAUCUCCAGCCCCAGAGGGAGAGGGCAAGAACAAUGAUGACCCCCAUAGUGGCCUCUUUGUGCCUAGAUACAGUGGUAUUCUCUGCCUUCAGGUGUCGCUAGGGGUUAAAUUGUAGACAGUGUAUCCAAAGUCUGUAAUAAACUUAAUAAAAUUGUUUCACUUAAUAAAAUUGUUGCAGCUUCUUUGAAACAUACUGAUUGGACUCACACCACAAAUGAAUCCAACAGAACUGGCCUUAAAAAAGAAAGGGCAGGGUAUUAAAUAAAUCUAUUAAUGGGAAAACUACUGGACUUGCUCUGAUACUUGAUAAAUUGGAUCAUUGCGGUUCCAUUUGCAGUGAGUUUUUUGUGCAUAGUGCCGCACUCUCAGCCUGAAAAAUCUUGGUCCAAUGAUAUAAAAAAUCAUCAUGACUGGAGACGUCCUUGGCUGCAGUUGAUAGUCAUGACACACUCUGUGCCUUAAUAUGCCCUCCACAAAGUGUUACAAAACCUUGGCCAUUAGAUCUUGUAGUUGAUCUCACCUGCCCAGUAUGCUGUGGAACUGGCUUUGCAUGCUGGGGUAGGCAUAUACUUACCUCAUGGGGGUUAAAGGUUCCUUGCUACCCUCACCUGGUUUAGUCUCUCAGCUAUGCAGAUGCAAGGUCCACAACAAAGUAGAUUGUGAGGUUGUCCCCUUGAAAGUCACUACCUUUAAUCCAGAUGAAGGGUGUCAACCAGAAACACUCCCAUUUUGCUCCACACAAGCUGCCCUGCUGAGUUCCUCCAGCAUCUCAUUGUUCCAGAUACCAGCCUCUUCCAUUUACCUGCACCCUGUGCUAUCCUG
Molecule: long non-coding RNA, 2771 nt
Organism: Hypanus sabinus (Atlantic stingray)
Lineage: Eukaryota; Metazoa; Chordata; Chondrichthyes; Myliobatiformes; Dasyatidae
Exons: 11
Source: RefSeq, a predicted model, not a curated record